UUUUCUCUCUCUCCAAGUAUAACUGUAUCAUCAUAAACUCAGUAACAUGACACCAAGAAGAAGAAGAAGAAGAAGAAGAAUGGCGGCGAGAUCAUAUGUUGCUCUUCUGCUAACUUCGUUUCUGCUUCUUAUUUCUCCUUCCUCCCAGUUUGGAUUCAUCAACGUUAAACACCGUAACUUAGAUUUUUCCUUUCGAGCUGGAAUCACGGAUGCUACACAUUACCGUAAACUAGGUAUGUUACAAGGUCGAUUGCAACGGGAUGUAAAGUCAAGACACGGUCAACCUAGUUCUAGCAUCGAGAUGUCACCCUCAAAAUCGCGACGAGAUCGUGGUCCAUGACAAAAUUCGACUCAGCGAAUGAUCGUGAAUUGAUAUAUGGUGAAGAAUAUAUAUAUAUACGUGUAUAUGGACAAUAAUUCAUAUCUAUGAACGAUUCGAUCAAUUACAAAAUGCAACGCGAGACUUUCUUA
This is a long non-coding RNA of Tarenaya hassleriana, 471 nucleotides long. RefSeq lists it as uncharacterized. The transcript has 3 exons. NCBI's taxonomy places the organism in Eukaryota, Viridiplantae, Streptophyta, Magnoliopsida, Brassicales, Cleomaceae. The record is from RefSeq and is a predicted model, not a curated record.